AGAGUUUGAUCCUGGCUCAGAAUCAACGCUGGCGGCGCGCUUAACACAUGCAAGUCGAGCGAGAAAGGGAGCAAUCCUGAGUAAAGCGGCGCACGGGUGAGUAACACGUGGGUAUGUACCUGUUAGUGGGGAAUAACCCUGGGAAACCGGGGCUAAUACCGCAUAAGUCCGAGAGGAGAAAGCCGAAAGGCGCUGACAGAGCAGCCCGCGGUCGAUUAGUUAGUUGGUGAGGUAAUGGCUCACCAAGGCGACGAUCGAUAGCCGGCCUGAGAGGGCACACGGCCACACUGGCACUGAAACACGGGCCAGACUCCUACGGGAGGCAGCAGUGGGGAAUCUUGCACAAUGGAGGAAACUCUGAUGCAGCGACGCCGCGUGAACGAUGAAGCCCUUCGGGGUGUAAAGUUCUUUCGACAGGGACGAUAAUGACGGUACCUGAAGAAGAAGCUGCGGCUAACUACGUGCCAGCAGCCGCGGUAAUACGUAGGCAGCGAGCGUUGUUCGGAAUUACUGGGCGUAAAGCGUGCGCAGGCGGUUUAUUAAGACAGAUGUGAAAUCCCCGGGCUUAACCUGGGAACUGCAUUUGUGACUGGUAGGCUAGAGUGUAGCAGAGGGGGGUAGAAUUCCACGUGUAGCAGUGAAAUGCGUAGAUAUGUGGAGGAAUACCGAUGGCGAAGGCAGCCCCCUGGGUUAACACUGACGCUCAUGCACGAAAGCGUGGGGAGCAAACAGGAUUAGAUACCCUGGUAG
Molecule: ribosomal RNA, 750 nt
Filed under: uncultured bacterium
Lineage: Bacteria
Description: bacterial SSU rRNA
Rfam family: Bacterial small subunit ribosomal RNA
Source: RNAcentral